This 82-nucleotide transfer RNA is filed under the name compost metagenome. RNAcentral describes it as "tRNA-Thr". The record is from RNAcentral.
GCGUCGUGUACGUCAAUCGGCAGGUGGCGGUACUUCGUACGCACCGAUCAUCGUCGAGUUCGAGUCCAAGCGCGUUGCUCCA